Molecule: ribosomal RNA, 164 nt
Filed under: Oxossia pernambucensis
Lineage: Eukaryota; Viridiplantae; Streptophyta; Magnoliopsida; Malpighiales; Passifloraceae
Description: Turnera pernambucensis 5.8S ribosomal RNA
Rfam family: 5.8S ribosomal RNA
About the family: 5.8S ribosomal RNA (5.8S rRNA) is a component of the large subunit of the eukaryotic ribosome.
Source: RNAcentral
CAAACGACUCUCGGCAACGGAUAUCUCGGCUCUCGCAUCGAUGAAGAACGUAGCGAAAUGCGAUACUUGGUGUGAAUUGCAGAAUCCCGUGAACCAUCGAGUCUUUGAACGCAAGUUGCGCCCGAAGCCUUCCGGCCGAGGGCACGCCUGCCUGGGUGUCAUGC